AAUUAAGAGCUACAUAUAUUAUAUUCAUCAGCAAUGGUUUGGUUGCAAGUGACAAAAAUUCCACUUAAAUUACUAUAGGCUGGAAGCAACAUUUGUUAGAAGACAUAUAACCAUGGCUAGGCUUCAGUGAAGAUAAGAGCAAAACUGAUAUGCUGCCAGAACUAGCUUGGUCUCAUGCCUUUCUCUAAAUUUCUGUCUCUACAGAUCUGAUCCUCCAUGGAGGAUACUCCAAGGACAAAACGUCACUGAUGACAACCUGAAAGCCUCCCAGGUCCUCUACCAGAGGUUCACAAGUUGGAGAUUCAGUUGUUCCAGGGAUCUGCCUAGCCACAGUCUAAAGGAGUGUGCACAACAAUACGAUGUCUUCUCAAAAAAAGAGAUUGCUGAGAUUGCUGGAUGGUAUAUUUACGUGGGUGAGCCUAAGAGCACUGUUAUUUUGAGAAGAGAGCAGACAAUGUAA
Molecule: long non-coding RNA, 460 nt
Organism: Capra hircus (goat)
Lineage: Eukaryota; Metazoa; Chordata; Mammalia; Artiodactyla; Bovidae
Source: Ensembl